Molecule: ribosomal RNA, 429 nt
Filed under: Bacteroidota bacterium
Lineage: Bacteria; Pseudomonadati; Bacteroidota
Description: Bacteroidetes bacterium partial 16S ribosomal RNA
Rfam family: Bacterial small subunit ribosomal RNA
Source: RNAcentral
UAGGGAAUCUUCCGCAAUGGACGCAAGUCUGACGGAGCAACGCCGCGCGAGUGAAGAAGGAUUUCGGUUCGUAAAACUCUGUUGUUAGAGAAGAACAGCGCAUAGAGUAACUGUUAUGCGUGUGACGGUAUCUAACCAGAAAGCCACGGCUAACUACGUGCCAGCAGCCGCGGUAAUACGUAGGUGGCAAGCGUUGUCCGGAUUUAUUGGGCGUAAAGCGAGCGCAGGCGGUCAAUUAAGUCUGAUGUGAAAGCCCCCGGCUCAACCGGGGAGGGUCAUUGGAAACUGGUUGACUUGAGUGCAGAAGAGGAGGGUGGAAUUCCAUGUGUAGCGGUGAAAUGCGUAGAUAUAUGGAGGAACACCAGUGGCGAAGGCGACUCUCUGGUCUGUAACUGACGCGGAGGCUCGAAAGCGUGGGUAGCAAACAGG